RNAcentral lists this ribosomal RNA (492 nucleotides) under uncultured bacterium. RNAcentral's name for it is "partial 16S ribosomal RNA". It matches the Rfam family "Bacterial small subunit ribosomal RNA", at positions 29 to 507 of the family's 1533-position model. The record is from RNAcentral.
AGUGAACGCUGGCGGUAGGCCUAACACAUGCAAGUCGAACGGCAGCACAGUAAGAGCUUGCUCUUACGGGUGGCGAGUGGCGGACGGGUGAGGAAUACAUCGGAAUCUACUUUUUCGUGGGGGAUAAAGUAGGGAAAAUUACGGUAAUACCGCAUACGACCUACGGGUGAAAGCAGGGGAUCUUCGGAACUUGCGCGAUUGAAUGAGCCGAUGUCGGAUUAGCUAGUUGGCGGGGUAAAGGCCCACCAAGGCGACGAUCCGUAGCUGGUCUGAGAGGAUGAUCAGCCACACUGGAACUGAGACACGGUCCAGACUCCUACGGGAGGCAGCAGUGGGGAAUAUUGGACAAUGGGCGCAAGCCUGAUCCAGCCAUACCGCGUGGGUGAAGAAGGCCUUCGGGUUGUAAAGCCCUUUUGUUGGGAAAGAAAAGCAGCAGGUUAAUACCCCGCUGUUCUGACGGUACCCAAAGAAUAAGCACCGGCUAACUUCGUG